Molecule: long non-coding RNA, 583 nt
Organism: Sinocyclocheilus anshuiensis
Lineage: Eukaryota; Metazoa; Chordata; Actinopteri; Cypriniformes; Cyprinidae
Exons: 2
Source: RefSeq, a predicted model, not a curated record
GUGCAAACAGAAUACAGUGACGUCAACCUUGGUUUUAAUAAGCAGUUAUUUUAUGACACAGAACGCGUUGGUGAAACUCAUGCAUCUAGCAAGAACUUAAUACACAAAAUAGUCAUAUUGAUUCAAGCAUUUAACAUUUAUGAAUGAAUUAAAUGUCAGUAAUGAACAAUACUGCACAAAUUAUAGCGAUCACGAGGAAGGUCCUAUUCUAUCCCAAACGCGUACAGUAAAGUGGAUAUACAGCCUACAACACCCCAUCAGUUAUAUUCAGGUCAAUAGUGUCACCUGUUGGCGCAGUUUUGUAACUUAGAUUUGUUAUGUCAAGAUCACGAGAAAAUUAAGUCGUUAUAAUGAGAAAACAACUCGUUAUGUCGAUAUCACGAGAAAAUUAAGUCGUUAUAACGAGAAAACACUCUCAUUAUGUCGAGAUCACGAGAAAAUUAAGUCCUGAUAACGAGAAAACAAGAAGGGAACAAAAAUAAUGCAUGGCCGCUUAGAACUUCCGUAAUUUUCUAAUACAUUUAUCUGCAAUCAUUCAGGUACUUGGACAUGUGUAGAAUAUUGUGUUUUCGAGCAGAAUUUA